CGCUGGCACUCCUCGUCGGCUGCUCGUCCGCCACCUACGGGAACGGCGGAGCUAGCGGCGGAGGCGGGUUCGCAGGUGGUGGAUGCUCCGGCGGUGAUUGCGGAGGCUCAGGAGGCUAUGACGGAGGAUCGGUCGGAGGAGGUGGAUGCGCCGGAGGUGGGUGUGGAGGAUCGUCUGGUGGAUACUCUGGUGGAUCAGCAGGAGGAAUAGGUGGUGGAUUCGGUGGCGGCGAUUCUUCUAGUGGAAUUGGAGGUGGAUUCGGUGGAGGAGGAUCCUCUGGUGGAUAUUCCGGUGGAUCAUCGGGUGGAAUUGGAGGUGGAUUCGGUGGAGGAGGAUCUUCUGGUGGAGUUGGAGGUGGAUUCGGUGGAGGAGGAUCCUCUGGUGGAUAUUCUGGUGGAUCAUCUGGUGGAAUUGGAGGUGGAUUUGGAGGAGGUGGAGGCUCCUCCGGUGGAAUCGGCGGUGGGCAUGGAGGGGGGACCGGCGGUUCCCUUGGCGGGUACCUUCCACCUUCAAGGAGGUAAUCCUCCUGAAAGCCUUCUCGUCCACCUGAAGAGAAGUACUGGUCAUGUGGUAAAGUCGCUAACUUCUGUAAGUUUAUUUGAUAUGUUUCGUGUCAUUCAUCAGAGAGAGCAAUGCUCAAAUAUUUGUUUGAUAAAGUAAGUACGACUUGUCCCAUUUAUCAAAAGGUACUGUAUAAAAUAAAUCCGUUGUGUAUUCCCUGAUAUGGCAAAAAUAAAUAAAUAUAUUAUAUAAAAGCGA
Molecule: long non-coding RNA, 759 nt
Organism: Penaeus monodon (black tiger shrimp)
Lineage: Eukaryota; Metazoa; Arthropoda; Malacostraca; Decapoda; Penaeidae
Exons: 2
Source: RefSeq, a predicted model, not a curated record